AUUGAACGCUGGCGGCAUGCCUUACACAUGCAAGUCGAACGGCAUCGCGGGAAAGCUUGCUUUCCUGGCGGCGAGUGGCGAACGGGUGAGUAACACAUCGGAACGUACCGGCUAGUGGGGGAUAACCCGUCGAAAGACGGGCUAAUACCGCAUACGCUCUUCGGAGGAAAGCAGGGGACCUUUGGGCCUUGCGCUAGCCGAGCGGCCGAUGUCCGAUUAGCUAGUUGGUGGGGUAAAGGCCUACCAAGGCGACGAUCGGUAGCGGGUCUGAGAGGACGAUCCGCCACACUGGGACUGAGACACGGCCCAGACUCCUGCGGGAGGCAGCAGUGGGGAAUCUUGGACAAUGGGGGCAACCCUGAUCCAGCAAUGCCGCGUGGGUGAAGAAGGCCUUCGGGUUGUAAAGCCCUUUCGGCAGGGAAGAAAUCGGCGGGGCGAAUAACCCUGCUGGAUGACGGUACCUGCAGAAGAAGCACCGGCUAACUACGUG
Molecule: ribosomal RNA, 490 nt
Filed under: uncultured bacterium
Lineage: Bacteria
Description: partial 16S ribosomal RNA
Rfam family: Bacterial small subunit ribosomal RNA
Source: RNAcentral